RNAcentral lists this ribosomal RNA (239 nucleotides) under uncultured bacterium. RNAcentral describes it as "partial 16S ribosomal RNA". It matches the Rfam family "Bacterial small subunit ribosomal RNA", at positions 102 to 334 of the family's 1533-position model. The record is from RNAcentral.
CCGACGGGUGGAGGUAACACGUAUGCAAUCCACCUGUAACAGGGGAGUAACCGGAGAAAUCCGGACUAAUACCCAUAAUAUGGGCGCUCCGCAUGGAGAGUCCAUUAAAGAGAGCAAUCUUGGUUACAGACGAGCAUGCGCUCCAUUAGCCAGUUGGCGGGGUAACGGCCCACCAAGGCGACGAUGGAUAGGGGUUCUGAGAGGAAGGUCCCCCACAUUGGAACUGAGACACGGUCCAA